Onthophagus taurus is the source of this 512-nucleotide long non-coding RNA. RefSeq lists it as uncharacterized. The record is from RefSeq and is a predicted model, not a curated record. Lineage: Eukaryota; Metazoa; Arthropoda; Insecta; Coleoptera; Scarabaeidae.
CAAAAUGACAAAACAAACAAAUUUCAAAAAAAAAUGUCACAUCAUUAUUGACGUUACCCUCAUUGACUCUCAAAAAAGUUAAAAAAAAAAUUAGAAAAAUAAUAGAUGGCUUUUUAAUAAAAAAAAAAGAACUGUUGUUUUUUUAAAAAAAGUCAAAUUGUGACAAAAAAAUUUGCUGUUAUUAUGCAUUAGUGGAUCUCCAAUACACACAUACAAACGCUCCCAAAUUUUUUCGCUGUAAAUUGCCUGACUUUCGCUUAAAAUGUCCGCGACGGUGCAAAAACGGCAAAAGAAAAUUGUGAAGAAAGACAACAAAGAAGGUGAUAACAAGCUGGAUGCUGUCUCCCCAAAACCCAAAUUAACCGAAACCGGUGCCAAAUCGGAAAAGAAACCGAAGGCAACCAAAGGAGCCAAGAAAGCCGAAGGUGCCAAGAAAGCAGCGCGAAAGUAAUCAACAUUUUCAAUAAAAUCAUUUGGGUUUGGAAAUUAAUAAAGAUCUAAAUUAAAUUUAA